Molecule: ribosomal RNA, 253 nt
Filed under: uncultured bacterium
Lineage: Bacteria
Description: partial 16S ribosomal RNA
Rfam family: Bacterial small subunit ribosomal RNA
Source: RNAcentral
UACGUAGGGUGCGAGCGUUGUCCGGAAUUAUUGGGCGUAAAGAGCUUGUAGGCGGUUUGGCGCGUCUGCCGUGAAAAUCCGGGGCUCAACCCCGGACUUGCAGUGGGUACGGGCAGACUAGAGUGUGGUAGGGGAGACUGGAAUUCCUGGUGUAGCGGUGGAAUGCGCAGAUAUCAGGAGGAACACCGAUGGCGAAGGCAGGUCUCUGGGCCACUACUGACGCUGAGAAGCGAAAGCAUGGGGAGCGAACAGG